This 443-nucleotide ribosomal RNA is filed under the name uncultured bacterium. RNAcentral describes it as "partial 16S ribosomal RNA". It matches the Rfam family "Bacterial small subunit ribosomal RNA", at positions 338 to 795 of the family's 1533-position model. The record is from RNAcentral.
CCUACGGGUGGCAGCAGUGGGGAAUAUUGGGCAAUGGAGGCAACUCUGACCCAGCAACGCCGCGUGAGUGAUGAAGGUCUUCGGAUUGUAAAACUCUUUAAGUGGGGACGAAGAAAGUGACUGUACCCACAGAAUAAGCCUCGGCUAACUACGUGCCAGCAGCCGCGGUAAUACGUAGGAGGCAAGCGUUAUCCGGAUUUACUGGGUGUAAAGGGAGCGUAGGCGGCUAAUCAAGUCAGAAGGGAAAACCCAGGGCUCAACUUUGGGACUGCUUUUGAAACUGAGUAGCUAGAGUGCAGGAGAGGUAAGCGGAAUUCCUAGUGUAGCGGUGAAAUGCGUAGAUAUUAGGAGGAACACCAGUGGCGAAGGCGGCUUACUGGACUGUAACUGACGUUGAGGCUCGAAAGCGUGGGGAGCAAACAGGAUUAGAUACCCCGGUAGUC